ACUAAAUAUUUCUGGAGUACUAGUGCAGCACUCUGCUCAUUAGCAAGGCAGUCUACUUUCCCAUCAGGCAUCUCACAAUUACCCCAUGACUGCUGUUUGGUUUUAACUCCUCCCUUGGAUAGGUCACGAGGACAAGUGACUUGGGUUGUGCCAAGACCUGAAAUGGGAGACUGGUGUAAAUGGCAGAUAGCCAGAAGCAAGGAGACAUCUGGGAUAAGACAAGGCGCUAAGUUGAUAGGAGGAGGUGUUCCACAGCAGAUCAGAUAUUCAGUCAAGCUGAUGGAGAAGCCAUGCCAGAGAAAGCAAAAAAUAAGGUAGGGAAGGAGCAGCAGAGAGAAACUGCUAUAUACAGCCUAGCUUUGAAAUGGGUAAAAUAGUGUCAAGGACUGUAGCUGAGUGUAGGAGAUAAAGAAAAGUAUUAAUGUUUCAC
Molecule: long non-coding RNA, 430 nt
Filed under: Coturnix japonica (Japanese quail)
Lineage: Eukaryota; Metazoa; Chordata; Aves; Galliformes; Phasianidae
Description: lncRNA (ENSCJPG00005019454.1)
Source: RNAcentral